UUAAUUGAAGAGUUUGAUCAUGGCUCAGAUUGAACGCUGGCGGCAGGCCUAACACAUGCAAGUCGAGCGGUAGCACAAGAGAGCUUGCUCUCUGGGUGACGAGCGGCGGACGGGUGAGUAAUGUCUGGGAAACUGCCUGAUGGAGGGGGAUAACUACUGGAAACGGUAGCUAAUACCGCAUGACGUCUUCGGAUCAAAGUGGGGGACCUUCGGGCCUCACGCCAUCAGAUGUGCCCAGAUGGGAUUAGCUAGUAGGUG
RNAcentral lists this ribosomal RNA (258 nucleotides) under Hafnia alvei. RNAcentral describes it as "partial 16S ribosomal RNA". It matches the Rfam family "Bacterial small subunit ribosomal RNA", at positions 1 to 254 of the family's 1533-position model. Lineage: Bacteria; Pseudomonadati; Pseudomonadota; Gammaproteobacteria; Enterobacterales; Hafniaceae. The record is from RNAcentral.